Physella acuta is the source of this 259-nucleotide long non-coding RNA. RefSeq lists it as uncharacterized. The record is from RefSeq and is a predicted model, not a curated record. Lineage: Eukaryota; Metazoa; Mollusca; Gastropoda; Physidae.
AAUGAAUGUGCAUCCACUGUCAACCGACCCUGUGAACAAAUUUGUGUGAACACAGCUGGAGGCUACUCAUGUUCCUGUACUGCUGGCUAUGUUGUUAGUGCUACUGAUCCCACAAAAUGUGUUGUGCAGACAGUAAGAACAGGUGACUGCAGUACUUCCCCCUGCCAACAAACCUGCACCAACACUGCCACAGGCUACACCUGUUCCUGCAGGACAGGUUUUGCUGUCAGUGUGACUAACUCUUCAGCUUGUCAAGGUA